AUUGAACGCUGGCGGCAUGCCUUACACAUGCAAGUCGAACGGCAGCGGACCUUCGGGUGCCGGCGAGUGGCGAACGGGUGAGUAAUAUAUCGGAACGUACCUUUCAGUGGGGGAUAACGUAGCGAAAGUUACGCUAAUACCGCAUAUUCUGUGAGCAGGAAAGCAGGGGGUCGCAAGACCUUGCGCUGAUUGAGCGGCCGAUAUCAGAUUAGCUAGUUGGUGAGGUAAAGGCUCACCAAGGCGACGAUCUGUAGCGGGUCUGAGAGGAUGAUCCGCCACACUGGAACUGAGACAGGUCCAGACUCCUACGGGAGGCAGCAGU
Molecule: ribosomal RNA, 322 nt
Filed under: uncultured bacterium
Lineage: Bacteria
Description: bacterial SSU rRNA
Rfam family: Bacterial small subunit ribosomal RNA
Source: RNAcentral